GAUGAACGCUGGCGGCGCGCCUAACACAUGCAAGUCGAACGGUUAAAGCAUCUUCGGAUGUGCAUAAAGUGGCGAACGGCUGAGUAACACGUGGGCAACCUGCCCCUCGCAUCGGGACAGCCUCGGGAAACCGUGGUUAAUACCGGAUACUCCGCCACCCCCGCAUGGGGGAGGCGGGAAAGCCCAGACGGCGAGGGAUGGGCCCGCGGCCUGUUAGCUUGUUGGUGUGGCAGUGGCCCACCAAGGCGAUGAUGGGUAGCCGGGUUGAGAGACCGACCGGCCAGAUUGGGACUGAGACACGGCCCAGACUCCUACGGGAGGCAGCAGUGGGGAAUCUUGCACAAUGGGCGAAAGCCUGAUGCAGCGACGCCGCGUGCGGGACGAAGGCCUUCGGGUCGUAAACCGCUUUCAGCAGGGACGAGGCCGCAAGGUGACGGUACCUGCAGAAGAAGCCCCGGCUAACUACGUGCCAGCAGCCGCGGUAAUACGUAGGGGGCGAGCGUUAUCCGGAUUCAUUGGGCGUAAAGCGCGCGUAGGCGGCCUGCUAGGUCGGGAGUCAAAUCCGGGGGCUCAACCCCCGUCCGCUCCCGAUACCGGCUGGCUUGAGUCUGGUAGGGGAAGGUGGAAUUCCCAGUGUAGCGGUGGAAUGCGCAGAUAUUGGGAAGAACACCGGUGGCGAAGGCGGCCUUCUGGGCCACGACUGACGCUGAGGCGCGAAAGCUAGGGGAGCGAACAGG
RNAcentral lists this ribosomal RNA (737 nucleotides) under uncultured Coriobacteriaceae bacterium. Its description in RNAcentral is "bacterial SSU rRNA". It matches the Rfam family "Bacterial small subunit ribosomal RNA", at positions 28 to 776 of the family's 1533-position model. The record is from RNAcentral. Lineage: Bacteria; Bacillati; Actinomycetota; Coriobacteriia; Coriobacteriales; Coriobacteriaceae.